This 253-nucleotide unclassified non-coding RNA is filed under the name uncultured Rickettsiales bacterium. RNAcentral's name for it is "contains 16S-23S intergenic spacer region". It matches the Rfam family "Bacterial small subunit ribosomal RNA", at positions 524 to 776 of the family's 1533-position model. The record is from RNAcentral. Lineage: Bacteria; Pseudomonadati; Pseudomonadota; Alphaproteobacteria; Rickettsiales.
GACAGAGGGUGCUAGCGUUGUUCGGAAUGACUGGGCGUAAAGGGUGCGUAGGCGGCUAUAUUAGUCGGGCGUGAAAGCCCCGGGCUUAACCCGGGAACUGCGUUCGAUACUGUAUAGCUUGAGUCCGGGAGAGGAAAGCGGAAUUCCUAGUGUAGAGGUGAAAUUCGUAGAUAUUAGGAGGAACACCAGAGGCGAAGGCGGCUUUCUGGACCGGUACUGACGCUGAGGCACGAAAGCGUGGGGAGCAAACAGG